AGUGAACGCUGGCGGUAGGCCUAACACAUGCAAGUCGAACGGCAGCACAGUAAGAGCUUGCUCUUACGGGUGGCGAGUGGCGGACGGGUGAGGAAUACAUCGGAAUCUACUUUUUCGUGGGGGAUAACGUAGGGAAACUUACGCUAAUACCGCAUACGACCUACGGGUGAAAGCAGGGGAUCUUCGGACCUUGCGCGAUUGAAUGAGCCGAUGUCGGAUUAGCUAGUUGGCGGGGUAAAGGCCCACCAAGGCGACGAUCCGUAGCUGGUCUGAGAGGAUGAUCAGCCACACUGGAACUGAGACACGGUCCAGACUCCUACGGGAGGCGGCAGUGGGGAAUAUUGGACAAUGGGCGCAAGCCUGAUCCAGCCAUACCGCGUGGGUGAAGAAGGCCUUCGGGUUGUAAAGCCCUUUUGUUGGGAAAGAAAGGCAGCAGGUUAAUACCCCGCUGUUCUGACGGUACCCAAAGAAUAAGCACCGGCUAACUUCGUG
Molecule: ribosomal RNA, 492 nt
Filed under: uncultured bacterium
Lineage: Bacteria
Description: partial 16S ribosomal RNA
Rfam family: Bacterial small subunit ribosomal RNA
Source: RNAcentral